GAUGAAGAACGUAGCGAAAUGCGAUAAGUAGUGUGAAUUGCAGAAUUCAGUGAAUCAUCGAAUCUUUGAACGCACCUUGCACCCUUUGGCAUUCCGAAGGGUAUGCUCGUUUGAGUGUCAUUGUACUCUCACACUUCCGAUCUUUGGAUUGGGAGCGGUGGACUUGGGUGUUGCUGCUUACUGUGGCUCACCUCAAAUCGAUUCGUGCACCUCUUGGUUGGACAUAGUACGGCGUGAUAAGUGUCUUCGCCGGCACCUCAGUAGAGGGUGGCUGAUCGGGAGCUCUGCUUCAAACCGUCCUCGGACAACAACUGACAACUUGACCUCAAAUCGAGUAGGACUACCCGCUGAACUUAAGCAUAUCAAUAAGCGGAGGA
RNAcentral lists this unclassified non-coding RNA (377 nucleotides) under soil metagenome. RNAcentral describes it as "partial contains 5.8S ribosomal RNA, internal transcribed spacer 2, and large subunit ribosomal RNA". The stretch from base 1 to 120 matches the Rfam family "5.8S ribosomal RNA", at positions 35 to 154 of the family's 154-position model. The record is from RNAcentral.